Taeniopygia guttata (zebra finch) is the source of this 4626-nucleotide long non-coding RNA. The record is from Ensembl. NCBI's taxonomy places the organism in Eukaryota, Metazoa, Chordata, Aves, Passeriformes, Estrildidae.
GAAAAACUUACCCAUUUAGAAUUUCCAAACCAUACCCGGCAAAAGUCUAAAGAAAAUGUUGAAAUAGAUUGGUUUGAUUGUGAUAAUUUUCUAGAAAGUUCAGAUUGUUAAUGAAAAUUACUUUCAUAACAAUAUUUGCCUGGUUUUAAUUUAGAAUAUUCUUUCAAUUUAAAUGAAACCCCACAACACUAAGCCUUUUUUUGUUUGUUUGCUUUGGAAGGGAAACAGACACUGGGUUCAUUUUGAAUUCAAACAGAUGAUUUUAUCUUUCACUAUCUGACUUAAAAUGUAGUAAAAUUGUUAUUAAUAAAAUUUAGAAAAUUUAAUUAACAUGAAAUGCUAGUCCUCUUACAGAAUGGUGCCUAGGAGCUGUAACUGUUGUCUUACACAAAUCUUAAAUUUUCUCAUUGAACCAGCUUCCAGAAUGGUAGCAAUUUUAGUGCAUCAGUCAUUGAUCCAUGCCAGUUUCUGGGGAGGAACCUUGACCAAAGUUUCAAAAUUCCUAAUGCACUGCUGCCCAUAAAAAUAUGCACAGCCAGUCACUAUGACUUCAGCUAUCGUCAUGCUCAAUGAAAACAAAAGUCUGGUGAUUGAAUUGUGACAAACUGAGUAUACGCUUUCUACAUUUCCUCUCCACACACUGAAGGCAAUGGCUAAACUAAAGUAGUGGCCAGCUGUUGGGAAUAUGGAUGACUCCCUUGAUCCUUUGUCUAGGCAGGCCAUCACCAGUGGUCAAAAUCUGAAGCAUGAAGGUGUAAUAUUCUCUCUCACUCCAGCAUUGCUAACCUGGACUGGGUGGAUACAGAAAAAGUCAGCAGGUUCCCAUCAAUUGUUGAGGACUAAGUCAAGCAUUAAAGUGUUCAAUUCUGGAUUUUCAGAGGUUGGUAUAAAACCAUGUAAACCAUUUAUUCAUAUUUUCAUAUAAGACUAUGUUCUAUGAUGAUUCAUCUUGCUAUGAAAAAUCAGUGCAUAAAAGUUAAACCAGAGAUGUCCAGGUAUGAUAAAACAAAUAUGUAUUUUAAAUAGAUCUGAAGCUGAUAUCACAGAUCCAUCGAAUCAUAAAAUGGCUUGAGUCGGAAGGGACUUUAAAGAUUAUGGAGUUCCAAAUCAGAAUCCCUGGGCAGGGAUGUUCAGGGCCCUGUUCAACCUAGCCUUGAACACUUCCAGGGUUGGGUCAUCCACAAUUUCUUUGGACAAGAUGUUCCAGUGCCUCACCACCCUAUGAGCAAAGAAUUUCCUCCUAACAUCUAUCUGAAAUAUCUCCUCUUUUAGUUUAAAACCAUUCCUCUUGUUCUUUACUAUCUGCUAGCAUAAAAAGUUAUACUCUCCUUCCUUUCCUAAGUGACCUUUUAGUACUGUCAGGCCCCAGUGAGGUCUUCCUGGAGCUUUUCUUCUCCAGGCUGAACAAUCCCAACCCUCAUCCUGUCUUCAGAGGACAGGUGGUCCAGCCCUGUGAACCUUUUUGUUCCCCUCCUCUGGACCUGCUCCAACAGGUCCACAUCUUUCCUGGAAUGAUGACUCCAGAGGUGGAUGCAGGACUCCAGGCGGGGUCUCAUGAGGGCAGAGUAGAGGGUCAGAACCACCUCCCUCGACCUGCUGGCCAAAUAUUGUCAGUUAAAACUUGUUAUGGGGGUUAUAGCAGCUUUCCAUAGACAGAGAGUGACAUGCAUCAGAGGAGGGAGUGUGGAUUUUCUGCUUACAAAAAUACCACUGACUUAUGGAGUUUGAGCAGUUUCCCAAACAAAGAAUUGACUCCACCCCAGCCUACAAAGAAAAAAUAAUUGAAGUCACAUUAUUUCUUCAAAUACUUUCGAUUCCAAAUGUUUGGUAACCAGCUGACUGUUGUGGUAAUGCUCCUUCUUCUGCACAGAAUUUGUAUUCUAGAUCUACAUGAAAUUAGUAUACAAAAUGAACUGAGUGAGUGAUUUGUUGUAAGAAGUUUUUGUUGUGAAAAUGUAAUGAAUAUUUCAUGGUUCAAAUUCAAAGCAACUAUAAAAUAUAAAGUUUUGCUCUGAUGCAUAAAAACAAUUCAUCAUAACUGUUAAAUACAAACCAUAUUCACUCAUGGUAUGAACCAUAAAUAUGACAAGAGGUCCCAGGAAGUUGUAGUUAUGGUUGAGGAGUCUGCAGUGAAUACAGCAAAAUUCCUCCCAAAUAUUUUAAAUAAUGCUGUCUUUCCUGAUGAUAGAUUGUAUUUCAUUGGCAUCAAGAUUUACAAAUCAGUCAGGGUCACCAAAACUCAAUUUUUUUCACUGCAUCCCUAAACCAAUGUUGUCCUGGGUUUCCUCCCAAAUCUAUCCCAAACCAGGACAAAUAUAACAUUCAAGUAUAUAAAAGAAUUUAUUUUAAAAAUCAAAAAAUAUGUCCUGCCAAGUCCUGUGCCAGUUUAUUUACAAGAACCUCCGAACAUUUUACCCUGUGUGCACACCAGGCCUUUCAACACAGUUCCUGGUCUUAUAGAGACACUUUUGAAAUGACAGAUCUCAUGGAAGUCAAAGGAAUUGUUAGUAAAUUGAAAUGUAACACUAAUACCAUGGACAUUAUUUCCCCUGGAGUAAAAUAUAUGUUGUUGUUCUUGAGAUCCAUGCUGUUGAAAACAUCUGAUACUUCUUUAGCACAGUACUGCAUAAGUCCAUAUGAUAGCAAGACUGAUUUUUAAACUGAAUUAAUUAUUUUUUAAAAAAAUUAUUAAUUUAUAUAGUGAUACUUACAUUUUCGUGCUGUUAUUUUCUUACUAUUGAUCUAUAGAACUGCAUUUCUUGAAUGGAGGCAUCCGCAGCAGCUGGAUGGAUGGUGGCCUGCUAUAGGCUCUGUAGAACAGUGCUACCAUCUGUGCUGUUCUACAGAAGUCUCAGACUGUGGCAUCCUCCCUUGUAAGGACUGAGCUGCCUGAUUGGGACAUACAGACAGUGUAAAAUCUUGGACAAAGAGCAGAAACACUGUGAUUGCUGUAGUGGUUCAGAGAUACAAUGGAAGUGAGGCUUAUAGGGAAGACGAAUCUCUCAUACAGCCAAGAUUCCAGCCUAGCACUCCAAUCAGAAACCUUAAAAACCUCAGCAGACUUUGAAGCAUGAAUAUGAAACAUUGUUCAUAUUACUGAAUGAAUAUAAUAAUUUUCAAAAUGCAUAUGCCUGAAUGUAUUUACUUUAGAAGCAAGCUUUCAAAAACUCUGUCUAUACAGCUUGAUUCCAGCAUUAAUACCAUUUGCAAUGAGCUAGCUAAUGAGCUUCUGGUUUUGAACAACUUGACUCUAUUUAUGAAAGAUUAGACCCACUGAGAAUCACAUUAUUCUUUUUUCAUAAAGUGUUUGAAUCUAGCUACUGUAAGGUUGCACAAUACUGCAGAACAGUCAGAUUCAGAGAUUAUUUAAUCAGUAAUAAAAUGUCAUUGUAGGCAGCAUAGCAGAACUUCCUAAAUCCCCCGAUGCAUGGUCGGCUUAUUUCAUUAGAAUCUGUGCUGGCUGUUCUCCAAAGAUGCAGAACUAAUGCUAUCUGCAAUUAUCGGAUUUUGUUAAGCACAGAGCAUUCGACAGUUACAGUGUUAAUGAAUGAAGAAUAGCUAGGCAAGCCUCUAAUCCAUUGCUCAUUGUUUAAAAAAAAAUUAGAGCCCAGCCCUAUCAUACUCAGUUAUAAUAUGACUCAAAUCAGCAGAAUAAAUAGCUCUGCACCUUUUCUCCCUGUGAGGCAAAUGUAAUGCAUUGCUUGCUAUUUUGCAAAUGAGAGGCUUUUUACUGAGAAAUCCUUUGCUGAGAAAUAAGUAUGAUGUAAAAUUUUCUAACAAGUAGGGUUAUGAUAUUUACCUAUCAUGGCCAUAUUCCUGCCUGUUGCAAAAAUAAUCUAUUGAUAGGAAGAGGAGAAAAUAAUCUAGUCUGUCACUAGAAAUAUCAGAGCCUUUUAAUUUACCCUCAGAAACUGUAAAUUAUCAUGGUGUGUAUUGCACUAUGUUGAUAAAGCUGUGAGGGGAAAAGACUGCAGCUAAUAACUAGCUCUGAGUUCAGAAUUGCAGCAUGUUCCGUGAAGCUUCUGGAUGUUGGCACUUUCCAAGAGUGAUGGAGAUGUGGGUCCCCUGGCAGAGAAAGAGGUGAGCUUCCAGUUGUGUGCAGCUGGGUCAUGGCAAAGGACUUAAAAUUUGCAUUUUUAUUUGCAUAAUAUUUUUAAUUGCCCAAUAUUUGUAAUUGUAUUUUUUGUAAAUGUUCACAUUAUAUAUUAUAAAAUUUAAAAUAGAAAUAUUAGUAAUUCAAAUACUUUCCUUAAGAAAAAGACCUGAAAACUUUAUAUUUUAGAGCAUAUAGAUCUACUAAAAGAAUUUUAAAUUGUUUUGGGAAAUAAAAGCUCCACGUGGCAUUUUUUUUACAAUGUGUCUCUCAACAAGACAAUGCUACUAUUGAUCAGUCAAACUUAAAAUAUUUGUAUGUUUCAAAUUACAUCACCAUCAUUAAUUCUGAUACUGACAGCUAAGUUUGGCUUACUAAUGAAGCAGUCUGGUGAUAAAACACAGUGGAAAAACCAUGUAUGUAUCCUGAAUAUGUCCUUUUCCUGUAUCUGCAGUCCAUCAGCCCCAAUUACUCUGCUCUUUUUCCACUGUCUGAUUAACAGCAGCCACAGAGAAUGUUAUCAAAAGUGAACA